AGUUGGUGGAGUGAUUUGUCUGGUUUAUUCCGAUAACGAACGAGACCCUAACCUACUAAAUAGUUGGAGUGUAAUCAGGCACUUUAAACUUCUUAGAGGGAUAAGCAGCUUCCAGCUGCAUGAGAUUGGGCAAUAACAGGUCU
Molecule: ribosomal RNA, 143 nt
Filed under: uncultured eukaryote
Lineage: Eukaryota
Description: partial small subunit ribosomal RNA
Rfam family: Eukaryotic small subunit ribosomal RNA
Source: RNAcentral